RNAcentral lists this long non-coding RNA (388 nucleotides) under Olea europaea (common olive). RNAcentral's name for it is "long non-coding RNA (OEUR_LNC003347)". The record is from RNAcentral. Lineage: Eukaryota; Viridiplantae; Streptophyta; Magnoliopsida; Lamiales; Oleaceae.
UCCUAAUUAAGCAAAAGAUAAAAGUCGUAUCACGAACUUAUAAAAAAUUAACACACUAAUUUUCUAGUAAGAAAUAAUGUUUAUCUUAUUUCUUUCAUUUAUUAAUUGAUUUUGAAUUUUCCCCUGAUAUUGUUCCGCAUUAACUUUCUUGAAAAAACCUGCACAACAUUUAUGUACAGGGUUGAAAAAUGUAACAAGAUUCGGUGUUUCUCCAUGCAAUUAUUCUUGUAAUUCCAAAGAAGUAUAGAAGUACAUGUAUUUAAGUGAAUUUCACUGUAAGAGAGUGUUUCUGGUAAUGUGAUGUUUCUUUGAGCAGAUGAAAAUGGCAGAUUAUAGCAAAGUAGGACAGAAAAUAGACUCACCUGAAAACACUCAGACUCAGUUUGAG